Molecule: long non-coding RNA, 1864 nt
Organism: Phacochoerus africanus (Common warthog)
Lineage: Eukaryota; Metazoa; Chordata; Mammalia; Artiodactyla; Suidae
Exons: 2
Source: RefSeq, a predicted model, not a curated record
CCCCGGUACUCCUGCACCCAGGGGAACGCUGCAUCUCCUGGGAAGCCUGCGACCUCCGUCCUCGGGACACGUGCUGGAAGGUACAACGUCUCCAGAACGUGAAAUCUUGCCAAAUUUCCAUCAGGAGGGCCACAUGUGCCGCACACGGAGCUUCCCAGCCUCUGGGUCGCAUCAGCGCUACAGCUGCGGGCCCACACCACAGCCACAGCCACAGCCACAGCAGAGGGAACCGUGUCCGGCCAGAGGGCUCAGGGCCCGAGGGUUACGAUUUCUGAGUCAGCCCUGGAGAGGGUUCACGGGCGCGCUGGGCAACAGCGGGGCUGUCGGGCUCUCCGGUCAAGCGAUCGCACAGCCCUGGCCCUGAUUUCUCCUCUUCCACCCUGAGAGGCCUGGGCGUUCCGGCCACAGAGCCAGCUCUGACCUGCCGCUCCAGAGUCGCUUACAAGUCUUGGGGUUUUUUAGGCCAUUUCUUAGCAUCACAGGCCCAGCGGACCUUACGGGCCAUUUUGCUGGGGUCUCAGUGAUACUCUCAUGGGAGGCUCUCAAGCUGCUUCUUAGUCUCUCCUCGUUUGAAGCGCCUGCUUCCCGCUCCUUCCAUCCGCUGAUGACAGCUUGGGUCCUGAGGAUCCGAAGAACAAAGCUGCGCCUUCCGCCCUGAGACAAGCGGCAUCGGUCAGGACGGGCCAGGUGGUGCUGCAGUAAGAAACAAGGCUCGGCGCGGGGGCUCGGCCCAGCAGAGCGGCCUCUCUCGCCUACACCACGAGUCCCGCACGGGCUGCGUGGCUGCGCUCUGCCGUCAGAAUCACGCGGCCACACGGAGUGCUGGGAGCAGCACGGUGACACCUGCCUCCGUAGGCGUGAAAACAGGAUCCGAGGCUUGCCGGCAGGGGAGGCAGCCACGGGCUCUGGAGUCUUGGCUACAACCACGUAUUUCCUUCAGGCAAAUUCGUCUCUUUAGACGUCAGCUCAUCUGUCAGUGAGGCUAAUGACAAGGGCCCGCUCCACAGGUCUGCUGUGAGGUUAACCGAGAGGCCAGCGUCUGGCUCACAGAAAGAGCUCCACAGGUGCCGGGUUUUGAAGGGCGUGAGCAGAGUGCUGUCCUCCCCGAGGGGCUGCCACCUCCAGACGGGACACGGGCAGCCUUCCUCCUCGUGUGCAGCAACUGAAAUUCCUUCGCAGAGCUUGUUUUCUGCAAGUCACUGUCACAUGACCCUUUACGCAUCUUCUCUCCCGAGAGAGAACUCUAAGGGUUCAAGCACUGAGGCGCCAAAAGACGGAUCCAUGGUCUUGGCAGCUCCAGCCCCGAUGGGUCCCGUUCGAGGCCUAUCACUAAGUUCUUCCGAGAAGCCCCGAGAAGGGAGGUCAGCUCUGGAGCGCAAUCCUUGCUGGACAUAAACCCCGUCGUAGAGGGACACACACCAAACUGGCGGACAUCGAAGUCGGAAGCGACUCGUAGAACAAGCGAGUCUCACACGUGGGGAAACAAGUCCAGAGAGGGAGGGGGACUGACACAGCGUCACACAGCAAUCCGCGUCAGAGCAGGGGCCAGAACCCGCUUCCUUCAACCCCAGGCUUUGCGCACCGCGGAAGGGGACGGGCUUCUCCACCCCUGGGGCAGGGCGAGGAGGGGGCAGCUCUCUCGGAACGAGGGCUUGUCCUCAUUUCACAGGGUUGUGCUCCGGCGGAGUUGUAAAGUGAACAACUUUAUAAACAUUACCUUAUUAAGGCUUCUUGGAAACCCAAAGUCACAGCUCCUCUGGGUCAUGGGACAUGCACUGAGCAUCCAGUGAACAAACAAAGGGGAACGUUCCAUUUUUCACUUCGUUUAGAAAACCUGCCUUCUAAUUAUAGGAUGUGUUUAACA